Molecule: ribosomal RNA, 772 nt
Filed under: uncultured Actinomyces sp.
Lineage: Bacteria; Bacillati; Actinomycetota; Actinomycetes; Actinomycetales; Actinomycetaceae
Description: bacterial SSU rRNA
Rfam family: Bacterial small subunit ribosomal RNA
Source: RNAcentral
GACGAACGCUGGCGGCGUGCUUAACACAUGCAAGUCGAACGGUGAAGCGCCUUCCUUUUUGGUGGGUGUGGAUGAGUGGCGAACGGGUGAGUAACACGUGAGUAACCUGCCCCCUUCUUCUGGAUAACCGCAUGAAAGUGUGGCUAAUACGGGAUAUUCUGUGCCUGCUGCAUGGUGGGUGUGGGAAAGAUUGUGCCUUUGGGUGUUUUCGGUGGGGGAUGGGCUCGCGGCCUAUCAGCUUGUUGGUGGGGUGAUGGCCUACCAAGGCGGUGACGGGUAGCCGGCCUGAGAGGGUGGACGGUCACACUGGGACUGAGACACGGCCCAGACUCCUACGGGAGGCAGCAGUGGGGAAUAUUGCACAAUGGGCGCAAGCCUGAUGCAGCGACGCCGCGUGAGGGAUGGAGGCCUUCGGGUUGUGAACCUCUUUCGCCAGUGAAGCAGGCCUGCCCCUGGUGGGUGGGUUGACGGUAGCUGGAUAAGAAGCGCCGGCUAACUACGUGCCAGCAGCCGCGGUAAUACGUAGGGCGCGAGCGUUGUCCGGAAUUAUUGGGCGUAAAGAGCUCGUAGGCGGCUGGUCGCGUCUGUCGUGAAAUCCUCUGGCUUAACUGGGGGCUUGCGGUGGGUACGGGCCGGCUUGAGUGCGGUAGGGGAGACUGGAACUCCUGGUGUAGCGGUGGAAUGCGCAGAUAUCAGGAAGAACACCGGUGGCGAAGGCGGGUCUCUGGGCCGUUACUGACGCUGAGGAGCGAAAGCGUGGGGAGCGAACAGG